AGUAAAACAUGCCAAAAAACACACAAAAAAAA
RNAcentral lists this small RNA (32 nucleotides) under Arabidopsis thaliana (thale cress). RNAcentral's name for it is "ATSL173090". The record is from RNAcentral. Lineage: Eukaryota; Viridiplantae; Streptophyta; Magnoliopsida; Brassicales; Brassicaceae.